UGGAGCUUGGCUCAGUGGUAGAGUGCUUGCCUAGCAUGCAUGAGGCACUGGGUUCAAUCCUCAGCCCCAC
RNAcentral lists this transfer RNA (70 nucleotides) under Ictidomys tridecemlineatus (thirteen-lined ground squirrel). RNAcentral describes it as "Spermophilus tridecemlineatus (thirteen-lined ground squirrel) tRNA". The stretch from base 8 to 64 matches the Rfam family "tRNA", at positions 8 to 63 of the family's 71-position model. From Rfam's summary of the family: Transfer RNA (tRNA) molecules are approximately 80 nucleotides in length. Their secondary structure includes four short double-helical elements and three loops (D, anti-codon, and T loops). Lineage: Eukaryota; Metazoa; Chordata; Mammalia; Rodentia; Sciuridae. The record is from Rfam by way of RNAcentral.